GCUGGGGUAGCUCAGUCAAUAGAGCAAGAGACUUAUUCUCAGGGUUGUGGGUUCGAGCCCCACACUGGGCA
Molecule: non-coding RNA, 71 nt
Organism: Podarcis lilfordi (Lilford's wall lizard)
Lineage: Eukaryota; Metazoa; Chordata; Lepidosauria; Squamata; Lacertidae
Source: the annotation of a GenBank genome assembly